GUGAUCCACCAGCCUCGGCCUCACAAAGUGCUGGGAUUACAGGUAUGAGCCACCACGCCCAGCCUGCAAACAUAUGUUGAACUCUUUGCACAGUGCCCUGCAUGAGAUAGAUGACAGCUCCUUCUUCCAUGUUGUUAAUUUGGUGUGAGUAUAUGUUAUAUGUAUGUAUAUGCAAGAUAAUAAUCUUCUUGUAACCACUGACAGGCCUUUUUGUGAAUGAUGAUGGAAAAAGCAAGAACCUUGUCCAGGUUCCUCUCCAGGGAGCAGGGGUGGGUUGUGAUUCUUGAUUUCAUUCCUUUAGAUAUGAAGAGUUUUCACACAGAGGCAGCACGAAUUUGUCUCUCUCCUAGAGGGUGGGGAGAGUUGCUGGGUGGAUAUAACUGCAUCACAGCCUUUCUGGGUAAACUGGCCACUCCCUACUGAUUUGUUAUCAUGCUAAAUGUGUCUCCUCCCUUCCUUUCUGGAGCUUUUGCAGCUGUUCCUGGAAGGAGACCCAGUUGAAAGGGGUUGUUAUGGACCAGGAACAGCUGGGAUCUUUAAUGAUCUGUGAGCAGCUUACAGCAAAGUUCCAACACCCUGAGUAUCAGUCCCCAAAUCCUUGGUCUUUGCAUUCCAACACAAAGUAAAAAGGAUUGAGCAGGGUUUUGGUUUUGGUUGCAAGUAACAGAAACCCAACGCUAAUUAAUAAACGGGAAAGUGUGUCAGUGGAAAUGUAAGUAAGAAGAGAUUUCAUUUACUGGCCAAUUCAAAAGAUGACAAGCUUUAGGCGUGGCUCAGUCCAGUGGCUCAUGAUGUCUUCAGGACUCAGUGUUUCUCUGUUGUCAUCUCUUAGUUCUAUUAUUUUUUCUGUGUUGGUUCAUUAUGAGGUUUCCUUUAGAGGGUGGCAGAGAAAGCCACUAGUUGCUUCAAGUCUUUAUUUUACCAGCUCCACAAGUCCGACGGAAAGAGAAAACUGCUUUCCCAAAGGGUGUAAGAGGAUGAAAGGCAUGUCAUCAGCUGAAUUGCAUCAGGUGUCCAUCUUGGAAUCAAUCACGGUGCCUCUUAUUAGCAAAGCCUGAGUCAUAGGUGAGUCUAUACUUGGAUGGGGUAGUAAGGAAAUCCCAUGUUGAUUGCAUGGAUGGAAAGUGGGGGUGUUGUGGUUUCAUAAUGGCUUAUUAGGGUUCAAUAAUCAGAACACCAAAUAAUCCAUGCUGGGAGGUAAAAAUUGCAGAUAUUUUACUUUAUGCCCCAAACUAGACUUCAAAUCUGUGCUGCUCUUCCAAUCAUGAAUCCGCAGAACAGAGGAUAGAAAGUUCAGGUCAAUUCAAAUUUGACAAACACUUUCCGAGCACUUACUAUGUGCCAAUAUCCGUGGGAGGCCCUGGGAAACCAAAGAUGAAUGAAACACAAACUCUGAUGUCAGAGACCUCACAGUCUGGUGUUUAAGACGAUAAUAGUCUGGAUUAGAUUCUGGUGUGAUGAGAUGGAUUGUCUCAUAAAAAACAGAGGGAAGGGAUUAUUUAACUCUGAUGGGUGGCUGGGUGCUGAGAAGACCCUCAGAGGGUGUAACCUUUGAGUCUUAAGGAGGAUUAAGUUUAAAGGGGAUUUUGUUGGAGGAUAAGCAUCAAGGAAAGCAUUCCAGGAAGAGAGACGGGCAUAUGCAAAGGUAUAGUGUUGUGACCUCUGAUUAAAUAUGGAUGAGACAGGACAGGGAAAAACACACUUGUUAGAUUGUGGCAAAUGCCCAUGUGAAGUGAUUAAGUGACUGAAAUUGGGCAGAGGUGGUGUGCUGGUAGAUUCUAAGGUGACCCCAGUGAUCCAUGCCUUGUAAAAUCUUCUCCCCUGUGAGUGCUCCUUGGUGAGCAGGUGAUGUUAUAUUGGGAGAUUGACUAUAAGAAGGGGAGACUAUCUGUGUGGUCCUGGCCUAAUGACAUGAAUCCUUUAAGAGCAGAGCUUUCUCCAGCUGGUAGAAAAAGGGGAAGUAUGAGACUUAAAGGUGGAGGUGGCCCCAUGGAAAAGACCUAAGGGUAGCCUGCGGGAACUGAGAGAAAACCCCAACUGGCAGCCAGCAAGAAAACAGGGACCUUAAUCUUACGACCACAAGGAACUGGACUCUGCUACCAGAAUGAGCUGCAAGGGAGAUUCUUCCUCAGAAGCUUCAGAUAAGAACUCCACCUGGCUGACCUUUGAUUUUGGUUUUGUGAGAACUUUGGCAGAUAACCCAGGGAGACAUGAGACAUCAAUCAACAUAUGUAAGAUGAACAUUGGUUCAUUCUGGGAAAGGCGGGACAACUUGAAGCAAAGGCGGGAUGUCAUAGGUAGGUAAGAGACCAAUGGUUGUGUUCCUUUGAGUUUCUGAUUUGCCUCUCCAAAGGAGAAAAUCAGAUAUGCAUUUGUCUCAGUGAGCAGAGGGGUGACUGAAUAGAAUGGGAGGCAGGUUAGUCUAGAGCAAUUCCCAGCUUGACUUUUCCCUUUAGCUUAGUGAUUUGGGGUACCCAAAAUUUAUUUUCCUUUCACAGUUUCUUUCCUUGGCAACACCCACAUUAAGUAAUUAGUUUAUAGAGGCAUGUAGGCAUUAAGGACAAGACAUUAUUCUAGAUGACGGGGGCCUGCUAAGAUUCAUCUAUCUAUCAAUCUGUAAGCAUUGACUGAGGUACAUGCAUGAAUCAGUUACUGUGGACACAGAGCUCAUUGUGACACAGUUUUUUUUUGCCUUUGAAGACAUCACAAUUUAGGAAGAUGUAGAAACCAAUCUCUAAAGUCCACUUUACUUCUAGAGUACAGAGUAUGAUGCUUCAUGGUUAGAAAUGACUUCCAAAAUCAGAUAAAGAUACAAACAUCUGAUAAAAACGCCUAAAACAUGGAUCUUAUUCUUAAUGAAUUUGUUAAUAUAAAGAGGAAGGGCAUAGGGAUGAAAACCCAUGGGCUAGAAAACAGAAUGGGGUUGGAACCAAACAACAGAUGGUCUAGUCAGCUGCUAUGGAGCUCAGACAAGGGAGAGAUCCCAGAGAGCUAUCAUUCAGCAGGGAAAGCUUCAUUGACAAGAUUGGCUCUGGAAGGGGCUUUCAAGGCUAGAUUGGAUUCUGGUUGGUUGCCUAGGUGGGAACUUUAAAUCUCUGGGUAGGCGGGCCAGUAAGAGGGUGAGCAGGCAGUGCCGACCAAGCAGAUUAGCCUUGCCUGGUGGCUGGGAUCCCUAUGGGGGAGGCUUAAAAAGUGCCUAAGGUAAGGAUUUGUCAUUAACAAUGCCUGGAUAUUCGAAGAUCUCCUAAUGCCUCUGUAUUAGAUCAGAUUUAGUUUCAUCUGAAACAGCAAAGACUCAAGUAUCUGUAGUUUAAGCAAGAGAAACAUUUCUUUCUCUCUCAGAUAGCUGAACAUAAGCAUUCAGGGGCUCACAUGAUUUCUCCAUGGUUCGGGGAGUUAGGUUACUUCUAUGAUCUGAAUGUUGGUAUACCCCCAAAAUUUAUAUGUUAGAACCCAAUACACCAGGUGAUAGUAUUAAGUGGUCAGGACUUUUGGAAAUGAUUAAGUCUUGAGGGCUCCAUCCUCAUGAAUAGGAUUAGUGCUUUUAUAAAAGAGACUGGAAUGAGCUUCCCUUAACUCUUUCACCACAUGAGGACACAGGAUGAAGAUGUCACCCAUGAAGCAAAUAGAGGGCCUUCACCAGAUACUGGACCUGUUUGCACCUUGGUAUUGGACUUCCCUGCCUCCAGAACCAUGAGAAAUACAUUUUUAUUGUUUAUGAAUGACAUAGUCUGGGGUAAUAGUGGCAAUAAUAUUGAGUAUUACUAAUACUUAGUAAUAGACUGAGACAUUCCUGCACCAAUUCCUGUCAAAUUCCUGAGACCCUGGUUAUAGCAGCAGGAAGGACUAAGCUACUAUUAUCUUGUUGUCUGCUUUCCAGAGGUCAGUGCCCUUGUCCACAUUGUCUAAGAUGAUUAGCCACUGUGUCUGCGUUUCAGAUACAGGAAGUGGGAAAGAGAAAGACACACAUUCCUCCCCUAUAAAGGCAGGACUUAGAUGUGCAUUCAUCACUACUGUUCAUAAUCCGUCAGCUGGAACUCAGUCACAUGACCACAGCUAACAGCAAGAGGGGCUGGGGAAUGUAGUUUUAUUCUGAGAAUCCUUGUAUUAAAUCUCAGGGAUUUCUAGACUGGAGAAAAAGAGAGGCAUCAAUUUCAGGACACAACCAGUCUUGGUUACAACCUCUUCUUCCAGGGAGCUGUUGAAGGGUUGAAGACCAGGGAGUCUUGAAGAUUAAGAAACACAUGUCCCAAGACUCUUAAGAAUGGCUAAUCCACUUCUUUCUUCCAGCUUCACACAUUAGCUACAUAAUGAAAUUAGGGGAAAUGUAAGAAAAAUAGAGAUGAUUUUUGCUGAGCACUGUUUCAGGAACUUUCCACAGCAAUUUAAUCUUCACAACAUCAUGAUGAAGUAGCCAUUAUUAUUGUCAUUUUAAGGAUGACGAACUGAGAUUCAGAAACAGGAGAUAAAGGUGAGAAACUAGCAUCUUUGACUCAUUAGAAAAGCCAGGCACUUUAUAUCCAUUAAAUAUGCCAAGCAUUUUAUGUUUAAUAACUCAUUAAAUCCUCAUGAUUCAAUCAGAUAAAUACGAUUUCCUUCUAUAUAUGGGGACAUAUAGAUAAACCUAGAAUUUGGAUCUGGGUCUAAUUCCAAAAGUCAAAAUAUUUUCAUUGUACAGAUGUAUUACUUAUUGCUACUGUCAGCUACAAAGUUUUUUGGUAUGGGUUGAUUAUUUUAUUUACUCACGAGUUAACUAAUUAAUUAAUUUUAACGAAGAAUUUUUAAGCACCCAGGAGGUGUCAGGCACAAGUUCCUGACCUCUUAGAGCUCACUUUCUAGGUGAGGAAAUAUUCAUUUAUUGAAAAACAAACACUUAUUAUAUGCUUCUUAUGACCAAGACCUGGUAUUACAAAGACAAAAAAGUAUAAUGAUUGCCAUACAAUAGAAAUCAAUAAAUAUUGAGUUAAUUAAAAACAUAGCCCUUGGGAACACCACAAUCUAUUAGUGGUGGGAUGCAGAACAAUGUGAAUUUGGGAGAGGAUGGUUUGAAUACUGUGCUAUAUUGGCUACAGCCGCCUAUCCAAAGACUGUCUUUGGAAGAGCUGAAUAUGAAGGAACUGUUCUUCCCUGAGCUCCCUGUGAGUAGGAUCUGCUUUGUAAACCAAGGACAUGCAGAAGCGUGGGAGGAAGCAGCACCUGAACCUGGAGCCAGUGACUAGGAGAUGAGCUCAGUCCUUGGCCAAGCCUGCUGCAGGUGUUGACUUUUUCUGCUAAAAAACCUGGUCAUGACUUCAGGGUGAUGAAGGGCAACUUGAGAAACAGACAAAAAGGCAAGAACUCCUUAAGUACAUCUGUGUUAAAUAAUUUCUGGAUUUGGUAAUGAACUCAAGGUGUUUCUGAAUCAGGUGAAAAUGGGGGAAAAUGUUGAGGAACACUUUCUGUUUAUGCCCUUUUAGUUUCUCCCCCACCUCCUAUCUCCCUCCAGGGUACUUCUGAUCACACAUGUAAGACUUAUCUAUGCUGGAGCCAAGGGUGAUGAUGGCUUUGUGACGGAGAUUUCUUAAAGGAAGAUACGAAUUUUAAUGUCUGGAUAGGUGCUCAGAUGGAAAAGGGUCUGAAAGGAGAGAUUGCUGAAAUAGAAUGUUUCUAGAUUGAAAAAUGCCCUGGAAGGGAACAUGGGAAUCUCACCAUUCCAGGCACCCCCAUGGGGCUGCUGGGCUUUUUUUGUGGCAUGAUUACCAUCUCCAUUCGUAUCUUAUGGUUGGGCUGUUGAUAGUUGUCAAGAGAAUCUCUGAUUCAGAGAGAGGAAAAAUGGAGGGUAAUAGCAGUUCUUUUUUGAACUGGGGCUAUCUAUUAACCUACCUUCUAAUGGGAUUGUAUAUUGGAUUGGGAAUAGCAAAACAUUCUUUAAGUAUAAGUACUUUUAGUCAGUGUGGGUACACACCCCCAUAGUGGCAUCAUGUGUGGAAGUUCUUUAGGGGGAGAGAAAAAGAUUAAAACCAAGACAAGCAAAGUAAUCAAUUCAAAUAUUUACAUCCAAAAUCAAUGUUACUAUUUACUUCAUUACCUUAGAAAGCUGCACACUGAUUCCAGUGGAGCUACCACUUAAGAAACAUUUUUGGACUUUCUUUCUCAUUUGUUUUUCAAAAUGCCUUUACAGUCAUGGUCUGUGUCCUUCAAUAAAGUACUUCUCAUUGCUUUUCAGUUGUUCUUUGUUUUAGAAAUACAAAAGGUGGUAAAAGAAUUAGAAAAAAAAUAGUUGAUAUCUUAACAUGGAAAGAAAUUGCAUUCUUUUAAAUUGUAGAAUAAAUAGUUUUUGUAGAAAAUUUGGAAAAUAAUAAUUAAUACAAAGAGGAAAAUAAGAAUUUUCCUAUAACCCCAUCACACAAAGAAAAACACUUUCUUCAAGGCUUUAUAAUGCACACAUAUGUGGCAGGUUUGUUGACUUGUUUUCACUGCUUAAGUGAGAGAGAAUAAAAUGAUAAUUAAUUUCCCUACUUCUCUCAUUUCACCCUUUUCUUUUCUAUCCUCUUCUCUCAACACAUGCACAUACCUCUGGGAAAAAAAAAUUCAAAAGCCACUCAUGCCUUUGAAUUCUAAGGUUUAAGCUCAUCUGUGUGUGGGUUUGUGUGUGCCUCUGAGUAUAAGUGGGCAAAGGUAUAUGGAUUGGAUUUAAAGGAUGGAGACUAACAGUUUAUUUGGGUCUUGGGGUCAUCAAAGAAAUAAUCAGGCAAAACAUUAGUUUGGAAGAUUAGGUUAGUCAUAGAAUUAAGGCAGAAUUGUCCUACAAGAAGAGGAGAGAGAUAAACUGGAGUUUAAAUAUGGAAGGUAAAGUGGGCCGGGCACGGUGGCUCAUGCCUGUAAUCCCAGCACUUUGGGAAGGCGAGGUGCAAUCACCUGAGGUCAGGAGUUUGAGACCAGCCUGGCCAACAUGGAGAAACCCUGUCUCUACUAAAAAUACAAAAAUUAGCCGGGCAUGGUAGCACAUGCCUGUAAUCCCAGCCACUCUGGAGGCUGAGGAGGGAGAAUUGCUUGAACCCGGGAGGCAGAGGUUGCAGUGAGCCAUGAUUGUGCCACCGCACUCCAGCCUGGGCAACAGAACAAGACUCUGUCUCAAAAA
Molecule: long non-coding RNA, 7120 nt
Filed under: Homo sapiens (human)
Lineage: Eukaryota; Metazoa; Chordata; Mammalia; Primates; Hominidae
Description: HSALNT0349298
Source: RNAcentral